This 62-nucleotide transfer RNA is filed under the name Coelioxys fenestratus. RNAcentral's name for it is "Coelioxys fenestrata tRNA-Ala". Lineage: Eukaryota; Metazoa; Arthropoda; Insecta; Hymenoptera; Megachilidae. The record is from RNAcentral.
AGGAUUUUAGUUAAUAAUAACAUUUAAAUUGCAAUUAAAAAUUACUAAAAUAGUAAAUCUUA